Erinaceus europaeus (western European hedgehog) is the source of this 316-nucleotide non-coding RNA. The record is from Rfam. Lineage: Eukaryota; Metazoa; Chordata; Mammalia; Eulipotyphla; Erinaceidae.
GGGUGUGAGGGUUAGCUGGCUGCAACAUCUGUCACCCCACUGAUCCCUAGGGCUAAUAUGGCUCAUCUUCUGGAUGGCUGGACUGCUGCCUCCUUCCUCCCUCAACACACGAUUUAUGAUCCUUUCCAAGAUGUGCAAAAGGUCAAAGUGGAUGACCUUCCCGGAACAGGUGCUGACUGAUCUUCACUCAAGGGUAAACAAGUAGCUGUGCUCUCCUGCUAGAAACACCAAAGCAAGUUCACAAAACUCAGAAAUAUUCUUAUCUCCAAAUCUUUCUCUUUAGUGUGUUUUGUGUGAGUGUGCCAGAGCCUUCCUA